AAGUAAGAUAAAAGAUAGCACGUGUACUGUUAUAACUUCAACUUAGUAAGAUCACUUUCGUGAGUAAAAUACUUCUCUUGCUUGCCUUAUGAGUUUUGAGUACCACUUCUCUCUUGAUAGUUCUCCUUAUAUCAGCUCAAUUAUUGAAGUUAUUAUCCUCUGCAACCUUCUCUAUCUUACCUUAUAAGUACGGCAUCUCUUUUUUGAUAGUUCUCAUUACUUCUCAAUUACUGAAGUUAUCAUCUUUUGGAACCUUUUGAAGUUGUAAAUUUGAGUCCUCUAGGCAUAUUUUUCUAUUACCUACAUUUACUUUUUUCCUUAACACACAUAACAACUAUAAUAUUUUUAAUAUCUUCAAGUUGCCUUUCCUUCUUCCUUCUUUUACUCUUGGAUUUAUCGUUAUUUUUUGUGUAUUCAGAGCUUAUGUUUUUGUUGUUUGUGGAUUAGUGUACCAUUUUGUCUUUCUUCUUUCCCAUGUUUUGUAGCUACAUGUGCAGGUACAACUUAUCCCUCUUCCUCCCUCCCUCCUUUUUCCCUUCCUAGAAAUACUAGCAGACAUCCAUAAUAUUGUUUAGAUCUUCUGACGGGGUUUUAUGUCUGUACUCUGCGUCACUUUUAUGUCUUAUAAGAAUAAGAUCAUAUAUACUUCUAAAAAAUUUGCUUUCGAUAUCCAUAACACAACAAAUUAAUUGAUGUAAUAUGUACUAGAUACAAAGGUUUAUGUUUUGCACUUCUACCUGUUUAUUAAAUUAUUUUUUCUUUAUGGUUAAUAGUCAGUUCAUGUACAGGGUCUCGAGAAAUAAGAAGACAUCGAUGCCAGAUUGGAAGUGGUGUUGAGGUUGAUCCACGAGCAUAUUCCUGAAACUUAUGAUCGACCAAAUCAAGAUUUUUGACCAGUUUUCUUCAAAGAAGCUUAGAAGGCUCAUUGUUUCAGAACUUGUGUUCGUGUAAUUGAAACUAAGUCGCAGUGACUUAACCUGCAGGCUACGUGAAAGGUCAAGCUCCUAAGAUUUGGAGGAAAAGAAAAGUAAUAAAAGUCAAUAGGUUAGGUAUUAGACAUCGGAUGUACCACUUUGCACUAACUGUUUCUACUGUGCAACUUGAUAAUUAAAUAAGGAUUCAAUUAUUUUGUUAAAAGACAAAAUAAUGACAUAGCUAAGACGCAAGUUUUAUUGUGAUAUUUUUAAUGGACA
This 1193-nucleotide long non-coding RNA is filed under the name Nicotiana tabacum (common tobacco). RNAcentral's name for it is "long non-coding RNA (NTAB_LNC005296)". The record is from RNAcentral. Lineage: Eukaryota; Viridiplantae; Streptophyta; Magnoliopsida; Solanales; Solanaceae.